GAGACCCAAAUUAAAAAUCAAAAGUUCAACCUUGUCACAAUAUUUCUCUCUGAAAUCCCAAGAAGAAGAAGUGUAAAACUGAAUCUUGGGAUUGAAGAAAUCAAAGGUUUUUUUCAUAAUGUUCUUUGAAGAUUCAUCAAGGUAUGAUUGUUUUCAUCUAUGGGUGGAUUUCACCCAUGGAGCCCCUUCAAAACUAGAUUUCAAAUCAUACAAUUUCCCUAAAAGUUAGGGUUUUAUUCUAAUGACAUGGGUUCUCUUCAAAAACAAUUUCAAUGGUUGAAUUAUGUUGUGUUAUGAUUGAAUUGAUGAAUAGAGGUUUAUUUAUGGUGAAAUUCCCCCAAGAACCCAUCGAUUCCAUAUAUUGCUAAAUUGUGAUCAUAAUGUGGAUUCAUUGAUUUUAGAAGCAUGUAAAUGGGUUUUGUUUAGAUGAAUUGAAUUGAUUAGAUUAUGUUAUUAUCCAUAUCUAAUGUAGAAAUUCUAGAUGUUGGGCUUAAUGUAAUUCAUGAUUCUUGAAGGGUAAAUUAUGAGAAUUAUGCAGGUGUUUCAAGAAUUAUUUUGAGAAUGAAGAUUCAAAGAUGAUGGUGUAAUUGUGGUAUUGAUUGAAAGGAUAACUCAACUCACCAAAAAGGAAAGGAUCAUAUAAGAAAGAUUGUCAUGUAAGAAUCAACAUUCAAGGAGCCAAAGCCUAAAUUGCACAAAUUAGGGAAGACUUGCAAAUCAGAGGAAGAUAUCAAACAAAAUGUCAAAUAAUUUAGAAAAUUUUAAUGAUCUCAAUGAAAGCCUCAAUAAGCAUAGUCAACAAACAAAGUGAUCCCCAACAACUACGUAUAUUCUGAGAAAGCUACAAGAAGAAAUCACGCAAGAAAGGAAACAAUAUUCAAUUCACCACAUAUAAUUCAAGAAAGCUGAAAGAAGGAAUCACACAAGAAUGGAGAAAUCCUCAACGACUACAUAGAAUAAAAGAUCACAACGGCGAUCUGCAAACAAUUAAGGCUACUGAAUCAUGGAUGAGCCUUAAUUUUUAUUCUUGAAAAUAAGGAUACCUUGCCUUAUUUCCAAGGAUCAAAUCUCUUGGUUGCAAUCUCUUCUGUGAAACGAUUCAAGUCUCGACUCUAAAAAAGGACAUCAUACUUCAACAAGAAAAAAUGUACAACAAGUCUUAUUCAUCUCACUACUCCCUACUCUACUUUUAAUAAACAUUGUAUUCUUACUAUGUAAACAAAAAAUAGACAAGAGAGACAAUAUUAUUGGCAAGGCUUUGUAUCAAAGAGAGACAAAAAAACUCAGUGGCGUUUUUGGAACUAUACUUAAAUCUUGUACUCAUAUCAAGAAGUUUCUAAAGCAUGAAGAGAACACCAUUGCAAUUCAAGGGAACUGGAGGUAAGAUCCACUUUUGAUCUGAACCUGUA
Molecule: long non-coding RNA, 1409 nt
Organism: Solanum pennellii
Lineage: Eukaryota; Viridiplantae; Streptophyta; Magnoliopsida; Solanales; Solanaceae
Exons: 2
Source: RefSeq, a predicted model, not a curated record